Molecule: transfer RNA, 72 nt
Filed under: Gymnopis multiplicata
Lineage: Eukaryota; Metazoa; Chordata; Amphibia; Gymnophiona; Dermophiidae
Description: tRNA-Lys
Source: RNAcentral
ACUAAGUAGCUAAUAAGGUCACAAGCAUUAGCCUUUUAAGCUAAAAUAGGUGCCCACCAACCACCCUUAGUA